Molecule: long non-coding RNA, 1378 nt
Organism: Carassius auratus (goldfish)
Lineage: Eukaryota; Metazoa; Chordata; Actinopteri; Cypriniformes; Cyprinidae
Exons: 4
Source: RefSeq, a predicted model, not a curated record
CCUUUUUUAUUAUUAUAAAUUCGGCAACCCCAUAGGUGGCGAUGUACGCCCGCGAGUCGCCAAUGAGCCAAGGGAUGAAGAAGUCCUCAGGGCAAGAUGUGGUAGAGUGAUGGUUGAGAGUGCAAUCUAUUCUGCUUACCCGACUCAUGCAGACUUCUGUCCUGAUGUUUGGCUGUAGUCCUUCCAUCAUCCAGUCUUUUGCAACCGGUCUAUUUAUGGAGACCACCAUGAUCUAAUCUAUACAGAUCUAGUUGUCUCUUCUCCCACAAACUCCUCUUUCAGAUUUUGAGCGGAUCUCCUUCAUUCUGCAGCCAGCUCACCAGAACCUCUGGGUGCACCAGCUGUGGAUAUUACAGGCCAAACUUUGGACACCCUAGGACAACAUCCUUAGCACAGAUCUACCUAUAGCCCUCCAUCAUUCCCACAUCCAUCUUGCAACAGUUUCAUUAACUGCAGUCCAUAACCAGUUCACGGUCUACACCUUGUCCAUUGCAAAUGUUAUGGAUUAUUCUAAUAGAGAUCUUUCUAUUAUUUUUUUUGAGACAGUUAUUAUGUACUCUGUUAUGUUGUGAAUAAAGUCUGCCCCCCCCCCCCACCUCGAUGCUUUCAGCAGUUAAUAGAUUAAAGUGUGUCCUUAAUGUUUUAUUAUUUAAAGAUUGUUUUAAAGUUUAUUACAGGCUCAGUUUAUUUUUUUUCACUAGAAAAUAAAGUGGAGUAUUAACUGUCAUAAUCAAGUAUGAGACUUUUGUCAGUAUCAUUAAUUCUAUGAGGCAAUAUGAAUCAAAUUAACAUUUGUAUAGGGUUUUCAUCCGAAGGCUUCUUCCUCAUUCAGUUAAACAUCAAGGGUUUUCUAUGCUUUUGUCACCUUUUACUUUCUCAUUGGAAAUUAUGAGCAUCAUUAUUUGGAAGAAAAUAAGAAUAUGAAAAUGGCUUUGAUUUCAAUGUAUUGAAUGGAAUCAAAGAACCACACAAACCUUUGACCUUCACACAGAUAUUGUAUAAAUUAAAGUGUUACUCAAAUUAUCAAGCUUGUAAUGUUUGUGUUUAAUGUGUGUUUAUAGUUAUGGUUGUAUUUGUAUUUUAUUAUAAAUGCAUGUGUCUAGUUGGACGCGAGCGGAGCGAUGCAACGCAAUAAGAUAAUCACUGAUAUCGCCUACACACACUGGAUGCGGGCGAAUUGACAAAUCCCCGUCAGAAAAAAAUAUUCAUCUUUAUAUUUCUGGCAUAGCUCUUUGCAACAACGGUCGCGUCUGUGUGACAUGGUAGUGCUUGCUCCGAUCGGCGCUGCGUGGCAGCACGUAAUUUGAAAUGUUGAAGAUUCAUCGUAUAGACGUCGUAUAGAGGUAAAGGAGACGGCUCAUUAACAGCUAAAAACAUU